UUAAUUAUAAGUAAGGGUAUAUUUGUAAUCUUAAGAUUUAAUUAAUAAUUAUAACUAAAUAAAGAAAAUAAGAAAACCUAUAAUUAUGGAAUGUUUCCUUAACUUUCUCUGUAACCCUAUUUAACUUUUCCACAUCUUUCUUUGAACUCGUCAGCAACACCUAACAACCAAAUCUACAACCUAAUACCUCAAACUGGAUGCCGACCACUUGCACCACCGUCUGUUGUCAACCAUCUUCCUUCAUCGGCGUCGCCCUCCUUCCCCACAUCAAAUGGAGCCGCUGAAUCUUUUCUCCACUACAGCGCAUCACUACCAGAAUCUUCAACAUCUAAGCAGAGAAACACAUCGAGCAUUUAGGAAAAAAUGGGGUUUCCGACGAGUCGGCAAUGAAGCACGUCAACGUAUAGAAAUUAAAUCACACGUUUGAUAACUCUUCUGGGGAUGAACACAAUGUAGAUCAGAAAUUCGGUAAUGUCAAGGAUUCUAGUCGAAUGAAGUUGUGAAGAAAAAAAGAAGAUAUGGGACUUGCUUUGAACUUCUAUGUUUUUUUUAGGUUUU
Molecule: non-coding RNA, 558 nt
Organism: Lactuca sativa (garden lettuce)
Lineage: Eukaryota; Viridiplantae; Streptophyta; Magnoliopsida; Asterales; Asteraceae
Source: RefSeq, a predicted model, not a curated record